RNAcentral lists this unclassified non-coding RNA (608 nucleotides) under Orostachys thyrsiflora. RNAcentral describes it as "sequence contains ITS1, 5.8S rRNA gene and ITS2". The stretch from base 228 to 383 matches the Rfam family "5.8S ribosomal RNA". The record is from RNAcentral. Lineage: Eukaryota; Viridiplantae; Streptophyta; Magnoliopsida; Saxifragales; Crassulaceae.
UCGAAUCCUAGAAAGCAUGACCGCGGACAAGUUGCUAAUCGGUGGUAUGUGUCUUGCUGCCUUCGGGUGGCUUGUCACCCCCACCAGGCAGGUUGAGGGACGUGCGCCCCUAGCUUGCCGGAUCAAACGAACCCCGGCGCGGGCAGCGCCAAGGAAUAGAAAUAGAUGUGUUGUCCCCGCUGCCCUUCAUCGGGCGGCGAGGGGCGAAGGUCAAUUGAUGCAAUAAUGACUCUCGGCAACGGAUAUCUCGGCUCUCGCAUCGAUGAAGAACGUAGCGAAAUGCGAUACUUGGUGUGAAUUGCAGAAUCCCGUGAACCAUCAAGUCUUUGAACGCAAGUUGCGCCCGAAGCCAUUAGGCCAAGGGCACGUCUGCCUGGGCGUCAUGUAUUGUGUUGCCCCCGCCCAUCCGAGCGUGGGGAGCGAAGCAUGGCCUCCCGUGAGUUUCAACUCGUGGAUGGCUUAAAAACGAGCCUCAAGGCGGCUAUGACGUCGCGACAAGUGGUGAGCAGGAGGCCUUUGAGCCUCGGUUCUUUGCGAGUCGCACGAACGCUGUCCCUGUUGUGCCCGAAAGUAACUCGAACGGAGCGUUGCGACGCUGCCAACAUCGA